This 462-nucleotide ribosomal RNA is filed under the name uncultured bacterium. Its description in RNAcentral is "partial 16S ribosomal RNA". It matches the Rfam family "Bacterial small subunit ribosomal RNA", at positions 338 to 795 of the family's 1533-position model. The record is from RNAcentral.
CCUACGGGUGGCUGCAGUGAGGAAUAUUGGUCAAUGGACGCAAGUCUGAACCAUCCAAGUAUCGUGCAGGAUGACGGCCCUCCGGGUUGUAAACUGCUUUUAGUUGGGAAUAAAAGGUGGCUCGUGAGCCCCGUAUUGUAUGUACCAUCAGAAAAAGGACCGGCUAAUUCCGUGCCAGCAGCAGAGGUAAUACGGGAGGUCCGGGCGUUAUCCGGAUUUAUUGGGUUUAAAGGGAGCGUAGGCCGGCUUUUAAGUCAGCGGUGAAAGUCCGCGGCUCAACCGUGGAAUUGCAGUUGAAACUGGAGGCCUUGAGGGCACACAGAGAUGUCGGAAGUCAUGGUGUAGCGGUGAAAUGCUUAGAUAUCAUGAAGAACUCCGAUCGCGAAGGCAAGUGUCCGGGGUGCAACUGACGCUGAGGCUCGAAAGUGCGGGUAUCAAACAGGAUUAGAUACCCGGGUAGUC